Molecule: ribosomal RNA, 250 nt
Filed under: uncultured bacterium
Lineage: Bacteria
Description: partial 16S ribosomal RNA
Rfam family: Bacterial small subunit ribosomal RNA
Source: RNAcentral
CGAGGUGCAAGCGUUAUCCGGAUUUAUUGGGUUUAAAGGGUCCGUAGGCGACUUGUAAGUCAGUGGUGAAAUCUCAUAGCUUAACUAUGAAACUGCCAUUGAUACUGCAGGUCUUGAGUAAAUUGAAGUGGCUGGAAUAAGUAGUGUAGCGGUGAAAUGCAUAGAUAUUACUUAGAACACCAAUUGCGAAGGCCAGGUCACUAAGAUUUAACUGACGCUGAUGGACGAAAGCGUGGUAGCGAACAGGAUU